AGUGAACGCUGGCGGUAGGCCUAACACAUGCAAGUCGAACGGCAGCACAGUAAGAGCUUGCUCUUACGGGUGGCGAGUGGCGGACGGGUGAGGAAUACAUCGGAAUCUACUUUUUCGUGGGGGAUAACGUAGGGAAACUUACGCUAAUACCGCAUACGACCUACGGGUGAAAGCAGGGGAUCUUCGGACCUUGCGCGAUUGAAUGAGCCGAUGUCGGAUUAGCUAGUUGGCGGGGUAAAGGCCCACCAAGGCGACGAUCCGUAGCUGGUCUGAGAGGAUGAUCAGCCACACUGGAACUGAGACACGGUCAAGACUCAUACGGGAGGCAGCAGUGGGGAAUAUUGGACAAUGGGCGCAAGCCUGAUCCAGCCAUACCGAGUGGGUGAAGAAGGCCUUCGGGUUGUAAAGCCCUUUUGUUGGGAAAGAAAAGCAGCAGGUUAAUACCCCGCUGUUCUGACGGUACACAAAGAAUAAGCACCGGCUAACUUCGUG
This 492-nucleotide ribosomal RNA is filed under the name uncultured bacterium. Its description in RNAcentral is "partial 16S ribosomal RNA". It matches the Rfam family "Bacterial small subunit ribosomal RNA", at positions 29 to 507 of the family's 1533-position model. The record is from RNAcentral.